GACGAACGCUGGCGGCGUGCUUAACACAUGCAAGUCGAACGGAAAGGCCCUGCUUUUGUGGGGUGCUCGAGUGGCGAACGGGUGAGUAACACGUGAGUAACCUGCCCUUGACUUUGGGAUAACUUCAGGAAACUGGGGCUAAUACCGGAUAGGAGCUCCUGCUGCAUGGUGGGGGUUGGAAAGUUUCGGCGGUGGGGGAUGGACUCGCGGCUUAUCAGCUUGUUGGUGGGGUAGUGGCUUACCAAGGCUUUGACGGGUAGCCGGCCUGAGAGGGUGACCGGCCACAUUGGGACUGAGGUACGGCCCAGACUCCUACGUGAGGCAGCGGUGGGGAAUAUUGCACAAUGGGCGGAAGCCUGAUGCAGCAACGCCGCGUGCGGGAUGACGGCCUUCGGGUUGUAAACCGCUUUCGCCUGUGACGAAGCGUGAGUGACGGUAAUGGAUAAAGAAGCACCGGCUAACUACGUG
This 468-nucleotide ribosomal RNA is filed under the name uncultured bacterium. Its description in RNAcentral is "partial 16S ribosomal RNA". It matches the Rfam family "Bacterial small subunit ribosomal RNA", at positions 28 to 507 of the family's 1533-position model. The record is from RNAcentral.